This 5164-nucleotide long non-coding RNA is filed under the name Fragaria vesca (wild strawberry). RNAcentral describes it as "long non-coding RNA (FVES_LNC005550)". Lineage: Eukaryota; Viridiplantae; Streptophyta; Magnoliopsida; Rosales; Rosaceae. The record is from RNAcentral.
GUUACGAGUUUGUAGGAUUUUUCAGAGCAUUGUUUGGACAUCAAAGCUAUUUUUAAUGAUUUUUAAAAGUUGGUAUUAUCUAAAAAUUUAAUUAAAAAUAGAAUAUUUGUUGGCAUGAUCUGGGUCGUCAGAUCUUUUUAACCGUCUAAUCUAGGCCGUUGGAUUGGAGUAUAUAUAAUUUGGAUUAGCUUGGAUUGCAUCAGAACACAGCCUAGACCCAUUUUGGUCUCGAGCUGCUCUGCAGCGACUGAGCUCGGAGGCGUCGUUCGUCAUCCGGCCAUCUCCCAGCGCAAGACCGGCGUUCACAGGUCCGUCUCGGCGUCCCCGACCUCCUUGUGAUUCCAGCUUGAAGAGUGGAGCUCCGGUGAGAGAGAAAAGGAGGAGAGAAGGCGAUUGUGUUUCCGAUCCCGACCACGACGGCGAGCGUGAAUGGUACUGGUAGUCUCAUCUCGUCCUCCCCAUCCUCCCUGUGAUCUUACUUUCAGCAAAGGAGCUCCGGUGAAGGAGAAUCGAAGGAGAGAAGCUUCUGAGUUUUCCGGCGAGGGUUCAGUGUUUUCCGGCGAAGUUGUGUUCGACUCAGGUAUCAAUCUUCAUCUACUCAUCGAGCUCUACCUCUUUGUAUAAUUGAAAUCGUGUUUGGUUGAGAGAUGAAGAAGUUGGGUUUAUGGCAGCGGGUGACCGCCGUGUGUACCAUUGUGCACGGCGGUGGUGGAGGCGUUUCUAUUGUUUUCUGGUUUUGAAUUUGUAUGCUAGAGUUGGAUUGAUGAUUAGUAUGUUGUCUGGAAUUAUUGAAAUUGUAGAAUUGGAGGUAGAGGGCGGAGUUGCAGGUUGUUCGGGUUUACUGCAAGUUUUGGUGAUUUUGGAGUUCAUACUUAUGAGCUGGUUCGAUAUAUGGUAUAAUGGAGUUGUGUUUUCAUCAUUGCCGAAGUAAUUGAGGGACUAGUGAUUGGAAUACAAUUUGGAGAUGAAUCAAGAGGUGGGAGAUUUGGACGACCUAUGUAUGUGUUGGUUAGUAAGAACAAGAAAGUCUUGCUACUACCGUGGAGUUGUGCGACAAUGCAGGAAAGUUACUAACUUUGGAAUUAUUGUUUAUUUGGCUACUGUAAAUGCAAGUUGAAUGAGCUCAGAGGUUAUAAACGUAUUAAAGGUAGGGAUUUAUACAAAGUGUGGGUGUCCAUAGCAAUUUGAAGGAUGGAAUGGAAGAAUUAAUUGGACACUUGUUUUUGGGUGUCCUUAGUAGAUUUCUGAAUUCGGUGUUUAAAAUGAUUCGUCGACAUUCUUGGAAUAAGAGUUCGAUACGAGGAUUUGAGGGCACUUUGCAGUUCUAGAAGCAGAAGGAUAAAGAUUUCAGAAUGCGUGUCGCAGAGAUACUAAUUUUAGUUAGCGUUGGAACUAGCGCUCGGAUUCCAGGUAAGGUUUUUCUCGGGGAACCUUCCUUAAAUUGAUAAUUAAUUUAUAAUUGAAAUGAGUCCAUUGAGUGAUUAACUCUUGGUUGUUAUUGUUUUCGAUAAAAGUAUAUGUAAUCGGUGAUUUAUAUAAUUAAUGUUAUUGCUUUCCAUAAAAACAUGUGUUGGAUGAUAUAUUAUGAAUAUUGAUAUUUGUUGCAUUCAUAAUGCAUUGUGAGGAAUUGUGAGAUUAGUGAGAUUAAUGAUAGUGGAGAAGAUGAGAAUGAGAUCGAGAAAAGAUACAUUUUGUGUAGUUGAGUUUCCUUAUGGGUUGUCCAUGAAUCCAUGUCAGCCCAUAAGUGUCACACCCUGAAUUUUGGAUGACUAAAAAAUCCAAAUUCAAGGCAUGAAAACUAAAAAGAAAAACAACUUUAUAAUAUUUUAGUUUUACAACUUGUGAAAGAAUAAAUUGGAUAAGGUAAAACCUCCCUCAAUACUCACAAAAUCUAGAAAGUAAACACAAGGAACAAAGCCUAACUGGCGCAGCCUCAACUCUGUUAAUCUUGACCUGCAAAAUCAACUUCUACCAAACUGUCACACCUCGAAUUUUGGAUGACUAAAAAAUCCGAAUUCAAGGCAUGAAAACUAAAAAGAAAAACAACUUUACAACAUUUUAGUUUUACAACUUGUGAAAGAAUAAAUUGGAUAAGGUAAAACCUCCCUCAAUACUCACAAAAUCUAGAAAAUAAACACAAGGAACAAAGCCUAACUAGCGCAGCCUCAACUCUGCUAAUCUUGACCUGCAAAAUCAACCUCUACACCAUGGAUUGGUGCACCGGGUUGUAAACAACAAACCCGGUAAGCUUUAAAAGCUCGUAUGAGUAAAUCUACAACAACAGACUCAACCCAUCAACACAUAAGAUAAAAUCAAGCGUUCAUGCAUUAAAAAAAUAAAUUCAGGAAAACACUUACAUGCAAGAGAAAAUCAAAGAAGAAAUUAAGAAAACACAACAAUUCACAAUCACUCAAAAUCAUAAAUAAAUCCUGUAAAAAGAGUAGUUCAGGAAGUACUUAAAAUAAGAAAAUUAAAUGACAUCAUAUAAAACAUCACCCAAUCAUUUCUCUACUCUUACUUAUGGGUUCGUCAACGCAUAGUCGUCCCCUAUAAGUAACGAGACAAACACGUACUCAUAGGUUCGUCAACACAAGUCAUCCCCUAUGAAGUACCGACAGACUGGAGCUCUAUACUGGCCGUAACCAAUCAUCCGGUCAAGACUUGGUUCCCGGUCCACUACGAAGGCUCCUAAUCUAAUGUACACCAUCACCAUUAAGGCACACAUUCACAACUAAUGCACAUAAUUACCACUAAGGCACCAUUCCGCAACGAAUGCACUCACUCACCACUAAGACACAUUCUAUUACUCUCACGUCAUAACACUUAUCAAAUCACAAAAUAAUAAUAUCAUCAUAACCGUAACCAAUCACCCGAUUAAAGGCUUGGAACCCGGUUUGACUAAUUAAAUAACAAUUCUACGUCACAUUAUCACAUUAUCAUAACAUGCCUUUCACACAUAAACACGUGGAUAUAAAUAUUUAAACAAGAAUAAUCUUCCGACUCUAAUUAUGACUCAUGAUCGAAAGUCCUUUUAAAAGAUUAUAUUAUUAACAGAAAACUUGUUUUCACUUACCAUAAGCCGUUUACAAUCAAACUUAUUUAUAUUUAAAAACAAAAUCAUUUUCUUUCAAGGACAACUUCACAAUCAUCAUCAAAAUCAUCAUCAUAAUCAUCGUCAUAAUCAUUAUCAUCAUAUCAUUAACAUUUCCAUCAACAUUAUCAUUAAUCUCAUCAUCAUCAUAAUCGUUAUCAUAACAAUUAUCAUCAUCAUCAUCAUCAUCAUAAUCAACAUCACAAUCAUCAUCAUAAUCGUUAUCAUAACAAUCAUCAUCAUCAUCAUCAUCAUCAUCAUCAUAAUCAACAUCACAAUCAUCAUCAUAAUCAUCAUCAUAAUCAUUAUCAAAAUCAACAUCACAAUCAUCAUCAAAAUCAUUAUCAUAAUCAAAAUAACUAGGUCACAAAGUGGACCUUAGUGAGAUUUUACUCACCUUAACUCCCGCUGCGUCUUCAUAAACACAAACGCAAGCGUCUAGCUCAAAAGCAAACUCCACAAGUUACCCUAUUUAACACAAACAUUAACCUUAGUAACCAAACGAACUAAGAGUAACAUUUGCCCUCUUAACCCAUAACUAAAAUCUGAAGGUUUGCCUAAAGGAGGGCAACUCUCCUUCAAGACCUCCCAAGGUCCUCGAUCACCCAAAACUAAACCUCCUACAAUUGCCAAAAACGGCUCCUACAUUUGAAAUCACAAAAUCAUCACACCUUAUCGAAAACAACUCUAACAUUAAGCAUUACAAGAUCUUAACCUAGUCUUAUAAUAUAUCAACGUGCUCACAACAACAAGAACUAGCUAACCCUUGCAACUAAACCUACACAUCCUGCCGAACGCGCCGCGAGUGGUCCCCACGCGCCACCCUACCAACCUCAAAAUCCCAACAAACUUCCAACAGCAAACUUGUAGAUUGAAGCAAGGGAAGCAUCCUUUAUACUUGGAGGUCCAACCAGUUCGGCCGGAAUCGGCCGGAAAACAACAAAAACUCGCCGGAAAGUUUGGAAUCCACCACCGCCACUCUCCGCCGUGAGUCGAGCUUGAAGGCCACUCGAUGUCAAACCAAGACACCAAGGAGCUCCUAUCCCGACCGGUUUCAAGCCCCGUCGCCGUCGUACACGGCUGGAAAAACUCUUGGGUUGAAGUCGGAUCCGCCAACCUCAUUGUGGCGUUCGAUUCUUGCAAUUCGACCCGAGUCGCUCUCACCCACCUACACAGGGAGGAUCACGCCGAGGAGAGGAAGAAAACUUGACCGGUGUCGUCGUCUCGGUCGGCCGGAAAAGUCAGGUCGGGUCGUCCGGGUCCGGGUCGGCUCAGUUGGGGGUUUUGCACUCUCUCGGGGUCGGGAAGAGAGAAGAGGAGGGGAAGAAAUGUGAUUAUGAAAAACUGAGGACCCAAAACGAAAUUUUUCCUAUUUAACCUAAAUAUUCCUGAAAAGCCACAACUUCCGCUGACCAUAACUUUCUCAUAUGAAGUCCGUUUUACACGUGCCACGUGUCUACGAACUCGUAUCGUCGUGCUCUACAACUUCCGUGAAGGAAGUUUCUCGAGAAACCCAACAUAUUAAAAAGUCAACUCUUGACCCUUCAAAACCAUAAAACCGUUUCGGGUAAAAUAAGCAUCUGAACGUUUCCGCUCUUCCUUCGAACCUCAAAACACACUAACUUCUAACUCAGAAAAUUCCCAAAUAAUAUUAGAAACUAAUAUUAAAUUUCCGGGGUAUUACAAUAAGUGCACGAACCGGGGAAUGCAGAACCCUUCGAUGGCGAACAUCGAUAAAGCGAUCUAAUCGGGUUUCGGGUUGGGAGACCAUGAGUAUAACAAGACGACUAACAAAAGAGGUACAAGUGGUGAGAUAUUACUGAUUUGUUAGGUCGUAUAUUGGAGACAUCUAUACGGUAUGGGACGUGUAGGCUCAUAUGUCUUUGAUGUAUGGACUAAUAAGCCAGUAAUCGAGUGUAGGAAGUUUAUUUGCAUAUAUGCAUUGAAUUGUUAUUAUUUAUAUUUAAAGUGUUGUUUGUUAUUUGAUUACUUGAUUUUACGACUUAGAUAAGAAUAACCUCAAGAGGUUUAGCCCUACUGAGCGUAAGCUCACCCCUAUAGAAUUUUGUUCAG